This is a non-coding RNA of Myodes glareolus (Bank vole), 2360 nucleotides long. Lineage: Eukaryota; Metazoa; Chordata; Mammalia; Rodentia; Cricetidae. The record is from RefSeq and is a predicted model, not a curated record.
GGUUUCGGGGUGAGCUGGAGAGGAUGAAGCCAAAGUCGAUGUGGAUGAUGUGACCUUCUGCGUCGAGAAGAAUGUUCCCAUUGUGCCUGAGGAAGGGGAGGAGGAAGAGGCAACAUGACAUUUUUGGGGAUACAUUUUAAAAUGUAUUCAUAUUUCACCCUUUAAAACUCAGAACAUAACAAAUUCCACUUACUGGAAAUUCAUACUAUUAGAAAUCCCUGAAGUACACUUAAUAAAAGGAGGUAAGUUUCUUGGUUGCACCAGAGCAAUGGACAUGAUUUUCCCCCCACAAGUGACAGUUUUGUCAACUUUCCCUCCAAACCUACUAAGAUAUUAAUGCAAGGAUAACAGAGUGAACAUUUUCUAGAAAUAAAAGGAAGAAGUGAAUUUUAACAUUGGAUCUGUCCAAGUAAUGAUAUAAAAAUUAUUAUUUUGGUCCACCGUUGCUGAGCUAACUUUUCCCUGAUACACAGAGAAAACCCACAACAGUGCACAGGUAUCAGAAACUGGUUACCUUUCUGUAGCCUUAGCUAUGAACGAGAAAAACUUUCCAUAUUCAAACUGAAUAUGGAAUAUGUGACAUGAAAAAUGAGUCCAUAUGCUUUUGAUGUUAUUUUUUAUUCUAAGACAGUCUCAUGUACCCCAAGCUGGCCUGGAACAUGGGGAUGACCUGGAGCUUCUGAUAUUCCUUUGCUUGCUAUCUUCCAAGUGUGUGCCCGUAUACCUGGUCUUAAGAGACACUGGAGACUGAACCCUGGCCUUUGUGCAUUCUAGAUAAACUCUACCAACUGAGCUACAUCCUCGGCCUUCCCUACCCCACCCCCCUUUUUAAAAAGCAGCAUUGGGGAGAUGGGGAGAUGAACAGUAAAGAACACUGACUGCUUUUCCAAAGGACAAAGGUUUGGUUCUCAGCACCCACAUGGCAGUUUACUGUAACUCCAAUUUUAGGGUAUCUGUCACUCUCUUCUGGCCUUCGUGGAUACCAGGCACAAACAUGGUGUGCAAACAUACUUGCAAGCAAAAUACAUGGAAAAUAAAAAUGCAGUAGAAAAUAAACUCUGGCAAAUUCCAUUUAAAAAUUUGAAUGGUUUGUUCUUCCUGGGCUUGUUCUGGCAGGCUUGUACUGAUGAUAAAACCACCUGAUUGAUAACAGUGCAUACUCUAGCAUAUUCUGCAUGCGAGGCCCAAUUUGAAGUGACAGGCAAUAGUUUUGGCCAACAUGGCACACUUCUUUAUUUCAGACUUGCUUAAAGCAAGGAUGACCAAUUUUGGUUUGCUUUAUGUGACUAUGUUGAGUAUGUGUUACCUGUUUGGUUUUCAAGGCAGGGUUUCUCUGUGUACCAGCUCUGGCUGUCCUGGAACUCCCUUUGUGAACCAGGCUGACCUGAUAUUCGCUUACCUCUGCCUCCCAAGUGCUGGGACUACAAGUGUGCGACAUCACCUGGGGUGUGAGUAUGUGUGAUUUUAUAACAAGUUGAAGCCUAGACCUACAGUUGAUCAACACCAAUAACUUUCUCUUCUUUGUAACCACUAUUUUGUGAGGUGCUUCCAGAAAUUUUAAAAAUGCUAGGAUAAUCUUGCACUUACUUCCUCUACCCCCAGUGUUAAUGUGUUAAUGGGGACCAAACUCAGAGCACUGUGCAUGCUAAGCAAAGCACUCUUCAACCUGAGCUACAUCACCAACAUCUAUUUUUUAGGUUAUUAGGAAUAGUUCAGCAGGGGCUGGAGAGAUGGUUCAGCAGUGAAAAGCACUGGCUGCUCUUCCAGAGGACCCAGGUUCAAUUCCCAACACCCAUAUAGUAGCUAAGAACCAUCUGUAACUCUAUUCCCAAGGGACCUGAUGCUAUCUGGUUCUGUUGGGCACACUAUGCAGGUGGUGCACCGAAAUACAUGCAAGUAAAAACUCAUACAUUAAUAAAAAAAAAAAAGGUUAUCAGUUCCCUGCUACACCAAAGGGAAAGACUUUCAUCUUCCAAACGUUUUCUCUUGGUGGUUUUAUUUACUUUCUAUUUUAUUGUUUUUACAUAUCAGUUUCUAAAAUGAAAUUCCUGAGGUCUAACUAGUGCUAGCUUCAGCUGUAGGAAAUCCUACAGUUAGUUACUGCUCACUUGGGCGUGGCCUCAUAUACUAUUUAUGCCGAUGUAAAGAAUGCAUCUGCUCUCUAUCUCUGGCGCGGAUCCAUGGCAUCUCUCCGACUACACCCUUCUUUUUCCCAGCAUUCAGCUGAGAACCUUAGGCAGAACUUAGGUAGGUAAGUCCAAAGCAAUUCUUUAUUCAUUAACUAAUAAAAGCAACACAUAGACAGAAGGACCUCCCACACCAAGCUUCCCUGUUCUCACUUAGUCAAUCUUGUAGCUGAG